GCCAGGGUAGCUCAAUGGCAGAGCAGGGCAUUUGUAAUGCUCAGGUUGGAGGUUCAAGUCCUCUCCCUGGCU
This 72-nucleotide transfer RNA is filed under the name Candidatus Yanofskybacteria bacterium RIFCSPHIGHO2_01_FULL_44_110b. RNAcentral's name for it is "tRNA-Thr". It matches the Rfam family "tRNA". Rfam says of the family: Transfer RNA (tRNA) molecules are approximately 80 nucleotides in length. Their secondary structure includes four short double-helical elements and three loops (D, anti-codon, and T loops). RNAcentral also lists the same sequence under 5 other names. Lineage: Bacteria; Candidatus Yanofskyibacteriota. The record is from RNAcentral.